RNAcentral lists this transfer RNA (68 nucleotides) under Acanthisitta chloris (rifleman). RNAcentral's name for it is "tRNA-Arg". The record is from RNAcentral. Lineage: Eukaryota; Metazoa; Chordata; Aves; Passeriformes; Acanthisittidae.
AGAAAGUUAGUCUAGCCAAGACAGUUGAUUUCGGCUCAACAGACCACAGCUAACCCUGUGACUUUCUC